UACGUAGGGUGCGAGCGUUAAUCGGAAUACUGGGCGUAAAGCGUGCGCAGGCGGUGAUGUAAGACAGUUGUGAAAUCCCCGGGCCUCAACCUGGGAACUGCAUUUGUGACUGCAUCGCUGGAGUGCGGCAGAGGGGGAUGGAAUUCCGCGUGUAGCAGUGAAAUGCGUAGAUAUGCGGAGGAACACCGAUGGCGAAGGCAAUCCCCUGGGCCUGCACUGACGCUCAUGCACGAAGCGUGGGAGC
This 244-nucleotide ribosomal RNA is filed under the name uncultured bacterium. RNAcentral's name for it is "partial 16S ribosomal RNA". It matches the Rfam family "Bacterial small subunit ribosomal RNA", at positions 524 to 769 of the family's 1533-position model. The record is from RNAcentral.